AUAGCUCACUGGUCGAGUGGUUCGGCGCCGACAAUGUAACGGGGCUCAAGCAGAGUACCGAAACCGUGGAAUUGGCCUUCGGGCCGAUUGGUAGGGGAGCGUUCCGUUCAGCAGUGAAGCGGGACCCGCGAGGGCCCGUGGAGCGGACGGAAGUGAGAAUGUUGGCAUGAGUAACUACUAGGCAGGUGAAAACCCUGCCCACCGAAUCCCCAAGGUUUCCCACGCAACGGCAAUCGGCGUGGGGUUAGUCGGUCCUAAGGCCAGGCUGAAAAGCGUAACCGAUGGAUAACAGGUCAAUAUUCCUGUACUUCAUAAAGAUCGCCCAAGGGUGUAAGUUGAUAGUCUUACAAGCCUCUGUUCUUACCAUUCUGCUUUCAAAAAAAAUUCGAAGCACGAAGCACGAAAUUCGAUAGUCUCGGAUUUCGAAAUUCGGAUUUCGAAUUUAGAUGAGGGUGGAAUGGUAAGAACAUGUUUAUGAGAAAGGAAGCUUUCAUUCUAGGAGCGGUGGGACGGAGUGGGAAGACCAGAGCGUGUGUAUUGACUGCACGUGUAAUGCGUAAGGUAUUGAGAUUCAUAGGAAAAUCCGUGAGUCGAGCCGAGCGCAGAUACCAAUUGCGUACCGCAAGGUGCGUUAGUCUGACUCUUUGCGCUUCCAAGAAAAGCAUCGCUUCCCAGAGCUUUAUGAAACCGUACCGCAAACCAACACCGGUGGGGUGGUCGAGUAGACCAAGGUGAACGAGAGAACUCGCGUUAAGGAACUCGGCAAAAUAGCGUCCGUAACUUCGGGAUAAGGACUGACGGUGGCCGCAAGGUCAUCGCCCGCAGCAAAAGAGACCAGGCAACUGUUUACCAAAAACACAGGUCCCUGCUAAGUCGCAAGACGAUGUAUAGGGGCUGAUGCCUGCCCAGUGUCAGAAGGUUACGUGAGAGGGUGCAAGCCUUUGAUCUAAGCCCUGAUGAACGGCGGCCGUAACUAUAACGGUCCUAAGGUAGCGAAAUUCCUUGUCGGGUAAGUUCCGACCCGCACGAAUGGUACAAUGGUCUGGUCACUGUCUCGACGCGAGACUCGGUGAAAUUGCAGUCCCGGUGCAAAUGCCGGGUAGAUGACGGAAGGACGAAAAGACCCUAUGAAGCUUUACUAUACGCUGGCAUUGUGUUUUUACUCUGCUUGUGCAGGAUAGGUGGGAGACUUUGAAGCGGUGACGUCAGUCACUGUGGAGUCAUUGUUGAGAUACCACCCUUGUAUUGUGAAAACACUCACCUUGUGUGUGACACGCACCAGGGGACAGUGCUUGCCGGGUAGUUUAACUGGGGCGGUUGCCUCCUAAAAUGUAACGGAGGCGUGCAAUGGUCUGCUAGCACCGGAUGGAAAUCGGUGUUGUCGUGUAAUCGCAUAAGCAGGCCUGACUGUGAGACUUACAGGUCGAGCAGGGACGAAAGUCGGUGAUAGUGAUCCGGUGUCCGAGCACUUUAAAAUGCUCAAACCACGUGGGUGGGACAUCGCUCAACGGAUAAAAGUUACUCUAGGGAUAACAGGCUGAUCGCUCCCAAGCGCCCACAGCGACGGAGCGGUUUGGCACCUCGAUGUCGGCUCAUCGCAUCCUGGGGCUGAAGAAGGUCCCAAGGGUUUGGCUGUUCGCCAAUGAAAGCGGUACGCGAGCUGGGUUCAGAACGUCGUGAGACAGUUUGGCCUCUAUCCUCCGUCAUCAUCUAGAAACGUGAAGGAAGCUGCUCCUAGUACGAGAGGACCGGAGUGGACGAACCUCUGGUGUACCUAUUGUCGUGUCAACGGCAGAGUAGGAUAGCUAUGUUCGGCAGGGAUAACCGCUGAAAGCAUCUAAGUGGGAAGCCCCUCCUAAGAUUGCGUUUCUCCAUAAGUCCGCCGGAAGAUGACCGGCUAGAUCGGCUACAGGUGUACGCACGGUAACGUGUUCAGCCGAGUAGUACGAAUGGACGAUUGAACAUUUUUC
Molecule: ribosomal RNA, 1970 nt
Filed under: Candidatus Peribacteraceae bacterium
Lineage: Bacteria; Candidatus Peregrinibacteriota; Candidatus Peribacteria; Candidatus Peribacterales
Description: partial 23S ribosomal RNA
Rfam family: Bacterial large subunit ribosomal RNA
Source: RNAcentral